This is a long non-coding RNA of Hipposideros armiger (great roundleaf bat), 893 nucleotides long. RefSeq lists it as uncharacterized. NCBI's taxonomy places the organism in Eukaryota, Metazoa, Chordata, Mammalia, Chiroptera, Hipposideridae. The transcript has 3 exons. The record is from RefSeq and is a predicted model, not a curated record.
CAAAGCUGCAGAGGUGAGAAAGCUCAGUAGGAGAACCUGUUUCAGGAACAAACAAGGCCACAGAAGGAAAUCCUCCUAGGGUAUUCGAACUAAUUUAGUGAGAGCAAUAGCUUUUUAUUUGCAGGAAGAACAGGUGUUUCCCCAGAAGAAAACCUGCAGAGUCACCUUGCUGAGCCAACAUACAAUUGGAAAAUGGCAAAAACUGGAUUACUGAAGAGUAAUUCAGCAGGAAGCAUGUUUUCAACAAGUUGGUGAGUACUUGAAUCUACGAACUCGACUUGCAUAAGAUCCUGAGGGCUCCAUUUUGGAAGCUAACCAAAAAACACACACAUACACAGAAAACCCAGGAACGCUUUUGGCCAAGUUGUCACUGUGGGAAAAGAGAUUGGAAACAGACAAAUAUGAACAACCCUUCCUAUACUGGAGGAGAUUUUCCUGGCUGUAUUCAAGAGUGAUGAAACUUGUCAAUUUCUCACAAAGCAAAAAUCUACAGACACCUAGAAACACUGCAGCACUUCUCCAAAUGUUAGUUAUACUCAUUUGACUUUAAAAUUGAAAUCUGAAUUUUCAACCAUUUUUUUCUUUUGCUGACUUAUACAGCAUUGGUAAUGCAGACUUAGCAAAGAUAACCAAAUUCAUUGACCUGAGGACAUGGGAAAUGAUGCAACCGGAUCAGCUUGAAGAGUCCUAGAGCAAUCCACUGUGUCUUGAAAUAAGCCUUUCCAUUUGCCACACCCUAGUUUGUUAAUCAUGUCUUUCUUUCACUUGUUGCUCUCAAAAUUAAAAGUAAAAUUGAUAGAAUAGCACAAAUGACAAACAUUAUGAUGUAAAGACUGUUCCACAAUUUCUUCUCUUCAAGUCAAACAAUGGCAGCCUUCUCAUUUACAUUUGCU